UACGUAGGGUGCGAGCGUUAAUCGGAAUUACUGGGCGUAAAGCGUGCGCAGGCGGUUGGCAAAGUCAGCUGUGAAAGCCCUGGGCUUAACCUGGGAAUUGCAGUCGAUACUACUUAGCUAGAGUAUGGGAGAGGGCAGUGGAAUUCCCGGUGUAGCGGUGAAAUGCGUAGAUAUCGGGAGGAACAUCAGUGGCGAAGGCGGCUGCCUGGCCCAAUACUGACACUCAGGUGCGACAGCGUGGGGAGCAAACAGG
RNAcentral lists this ribosomal RNA (253 nucleotides) under uncultured bacterium. Its description in RNAcentral is "partial 16S ribosomal RNA". It matches the Rfam family "Bacterial small subunit ribosomal RNA", at positions 524 to 776 of the family's 1533-position model. The record is from RNAcentral.